Molecule: long non-coding RNA, 1654 nt
Organism: Cyprinus carpio (common carp)
Lineage: Eukaryota; Metazoa; Chordata; Actinopteri; Cypriniformes; Cyprinidae
Source: Ensembl
AGGCAGUAGAUGCACCGCAUACUCAGCUUUUUGCGAAGCCGAGUGGUUGUUUAGUUUUGCUCCUGUCUAAUGCUUUGUGGAGAGUUCACUCUUGGGAAGCUCUGGUGCUGGCGGUACGGAGCUUCAGCAGUGGUGGUUCUUCUCAUGUUGAGUGGUUUGCAAUUGUGUCUGAAUACUGCUGCCACAUGGCAGGUCAAGCCGUCGCUCCCCUCCCGGGCCACUACGAGCGACAAAUGUCACAGCGCAGUCCCUGCAAUGUUCACUAUGUUGGUCCAGGAAUGCCACCUCUGGCUGUGUCUGGCCAACAUGAGGGAGACUGAUAAGAUGCGGUUCCUAAAUGCCCCGUGUCCCAGAUCGGCCUCUUCUGCGACGCAGUGGAAAAGCAGACAGCACAGAAGCAGACAGAGUCCAUCAAACACAUCCUGCCCAGGCAUGCAGCUGCUGCCUCCACCCAGCCGCUGGCUGCAGCGCCUCAGUCUUCUUGUAGCCAGUAAGAAGCUGUGGGUGUUUCGAGAGUGCGAUCAAACGUACUACUCAUGCACCCUUUGCCCAAACGCAGGUAAGUGUUGCACACACGCUGACCUUGCUUCGGACCAGCAACAAGAUGCCUGGGCAGGGUCCCUGCAUUCCCCUUCACUGCAUCACCGUGGGUAAGUAGGUGGUUCCAUUGGUGCCACUCGUACGGUAUCUGCGAGCCUGGCUAGCGUUCUACAGUCUGUCUCGUCUUCAGACCAUCAGACUUGGCUAUGCUAUUCAGUUCGCCUGGUGUCCUCCCAAGUUCAGGGGCAUCCACUUUACUUCAGUGAAGGCAGCAGAUGCCCCAGUCUUGCGUCCAGAGAUCACAGUCCUACUGGCAAAAGGAUGCGAUAGAGCGGGUCCCUCCAGCCGAUAUGAAGAUGGGGUUUUACAGCCCUUACUUCAUUGUACCCAAGAAAGGCUGUGGGUUAAGACCAAUCUUGGAUCUGCGUGUCUUGAAAUUUCCCCUACCAGUACAGCAUACCAGUACAAGGUCCUGAACUUUGGGGUGUCCCUGUCACCCCAUGUCUUCACGAAAGUUGCAGAGGUGGCCCAUGUUCCCCUGAGAGAACAGGGCAUUUGCAUUCUCAACUACCUCAGUGACUGGCUCAGUCUCAGUAUCAGUUGUGCAAACACAGGGACUUGGUGCUCUCAACCUCAACCAGCUGGGCCAUCGGGUCAAGUGGGAAAAGAGCAAACUCUCCCCGAUGCAGAGGAUCUCUUUUCUAAGUAUGGAGUUGGAUUAGGUUAAACAGACAGCAUGCCUCACGCAGGAACGUGCUCAGUCGGUGUUGAACUGCCUGAAUAUGUUCAAGAGCAGGACAGUGGUCCCAAUGAAACAGUUUCAGAGGCUCCAGGGGCAUAUGGCAGCUGCAGCAGCAGUCACUCUGCUGGGGCUGCUUCAUGGCAACACACCAUUUACUGGGUCCAAGUCACACUGACCUGCCGGCAAACCUUCACACAGUGGUCAGACCGGGCAGGAGUGCCCUUAUAACAGGUCUCCAGGCAUACUGUGGUUCACACGGAAGCCUCCACCACCGGCUGAGGGGCUACAUUCGACAGGCUUGCAGUCUCAGGGCUUGGACGGACCCCCAACUGCACUGGCACAUCAAUUGCCUAGAGUUGCUGGCAGUACACC